Molecule: ribosomal RNA, 253 nt
Filed under: uncultured bacterium
Lineage: Bacteria
Description: partial 16S ribosomal RNA
Rfam family: Bacterial small subunit ribosomal RNA
Source: RNAcentral
UACGAAGGGAGCUAGCGUUGUUCGGAAUCACUGGGCGUAAAGCGCACGUAGGCGGAUUUGCCAGUCAGGGGUGAAAUCCCGGGGCUCAACCUCGGAACUGCCUUUGAUACAGCAAGUCUUGAGUUCGAGAGAGGUGGGUGGAAUUCCUAGUGUAGAGGUGAAAUUCGUAGAUAUUAGGAAGAACACCGGUGGCGAAGGCGGCCCACUGGCUCGACACUGACGCUGAGGUGCGAAAGCUAGGGGAGCGAACGGG